CAAAGAAGCUUGCUUCUCUUGAGAGCGGCGGACGGGUGAGUAAAGCCUAGGAAUCUGCCUGGUAGUGGGGGAUAACGUUCGGAAACGGACGCUAAUACCGCAUACGUCCUACGGGAGAAAGCAGGGGACCUUCGGGCCUUGCGCUAUCAGAUGAGCCUAGGUCGGAUUAGCUAGUUGGUGAGGUAAUGGCUCACCAAGGCGACGAUCCGUAACUGGUCUGAGAGGAUGAUCAGUCACACUGGAACUGAGACACGGUCCAGACUCCUACGGGAGGCAGCAGUGGGGAAUAUUGGACAAUGGGCGAAAGCCUGAUCCAGCCAUGCCGCGUGUGUGAAGAAGGUCUUCGGAUUGUAAAGCACUUUAAGUUGGGAGGAAGGGCAUUAACCUAAUACGUUAGUGUUUUGACGUUACCGACAGAAUAAGCACCGGCUAACUCUGUGCCAGCAGCCGCG
RNAcentral lists this ribosomal RNA (452 nucleotides) under uncultured Pseudomonas sp. Its description in RNAcentral is "bacterial SSU rRNA". It matches the Rfam family "Bacterial small subunit ribosomal RNA", at positions 71 to 519 of the family's 1533-position model. The record is from RNAcentral. Lineage: Bacteria; Pseudomonadati; Pseudomonadota; Gammaproteobacteria; Pseudomonadales; Pseudomonadaceae.